GCUGAAGGAGGUAUUGUGAGAGACUGCAGCCAAAACUCCAUCUUGAUAACAUUUUUAUGGGGGUGAAACUACAAAGAGUAACUCAGCAGUUGCCAGCAAGGCUGUGUUAGCAGGAGAGAAUAGCCAGAAGCAGACUUGCAUCCCUUCUGAGGACAGUUCUUGUCUCCGCUCUGUAGAAGUUCUUGACACAAAUCCCCUGAAGACAGGGAAGGAAAGCAGCAAGGCAAGCUCCUGCUGGGCUCACUGAGCAAGCUGGCAGCACUCCCCUGGAACUGGGAUGCCUUUUGCUGCAAAGAACAGGAAGCCAAGGGUCAUAUAACGUGGAAAACCCUCAGCCAGGGCCCUGAGGCUAAAUGUCUUGGAGCCAGAAGCCUGGAUAAAAAAGCC
RNAcentral lists this long non-coding RNA (387 nucleotides) under Phasianus colchicus (ring-necked pheasant). Its description in RNAcentral is "lncRNA (ENSPCLG00000001813.1)". Lineage: Eukaryota; Metazoa; Chordata; Aves; Galliformes; Phasianidae. The record is from RNAcentral.